Molecule: ribosomal RNA, 494 nt
Filed under: uncultured bacterium
Lineage: Bacteria
Description: partial 16S ribosomal RNA
Rfam family: Bacterial small subunit ribosomal RNA
Source: RNAcentral
GACGAACGCUGGCGGCGUGCUUGACACAUGCAAGUCGAACGGAAAGGCCUGCUUUCCCUUGUGGAUUGCGGGUACUCGAGUGGCGAACGGGUGAGUAACACGUGAGUGAUCUGCCCCCAACUUGGGUAUAAGCCUGGGAAACUGGGUCUAAUUCCCGAUAGGACUGCAGGGUGGUGCCUGUGGUGGAAAACGAUUUUCUAGUGGUUGGGGAUGAGCUCGCGGCCUAUCAGCUUGUUGGUGGGGUAAUGGCCUACCAAGGCGGCGACGGGUAGCCGGCCUGGGAGGGUGGACGGCCACAUUGGGACUGAGAUACGGCCCAGACUCCUACGGGAGGCCGCAGUGGGGAAUAUUGCACAAUGGGCGGAAGCCUGAUGCAGCGACGCCGCGUGGGGGAUGACGGCCUUCGGGUUGUAAACUCCUUUCGACCGCGAGGAAGCCACCUGGUUGGAAGGGUGGUGACGGUAGUGGUAGAAGAAGCACCGGCUAACUACGUG